ACACACCGGAUCUCCAGCAAGCUACCUGCUUUGGAGAGCAUCAGGCGGACGGCGCGGACCCACCUUCCUCCCCAAGUUUGGGGCGUGGGGGAGCCGGGACAAGGGGCGGGUGGCUAUGGCUCAGCCGGGGGGUCCGGAGCAGACCCGGGAAGAUGCCGCUGGGGACGGAUUCACCGACGUCAUCAAGAGUCGCGCUGUUUCAGGUGUACCAUAUAAUGAUUCAACAAUCCUGUACAUUGCUCAGUGCUCAUCACAAAAGAAUGAGAGAGAGCAUGAGAGGGAAGAGGGUCAGAGGGAGAAGCAGACUCCC
Long non-coding RNA from Mirounga angustirostris (Northern elephant seal), 310 nucleotides. RefSeq lists it as uncharacterized. The transcript has 3 exons. The record is from RefSeq and is a predicted model, not a curated record. Lineage: Eukaryota; Metazoa; Chordata; Mammalia; Carnivora; Phocidae.